AUGAAUGGAUACAAUGAGAAAAAACGAGAAAAAGAAAACUUGAUUACUGCUACUUCUAUUAGUUUGGAACAAUUAGAUAAGUCUAAAAAUGGAAGCCUUUAUUUUGAAAAACGAAGGGCAAUGAAUCAGGUCCGACAGCAGGUUUUUCGACAUGUCGUACAAGGAGCUCUAGAAACUCUGAAUAGCUGUUUGAAUACCGAGUUACAUUUCCGUACUAUUCUCCCUUUUAGGUGA
This 234-nucleotide ribosomal RNA is filed under the name Triticum aestivum (bread wheat). RNAcentral's name for it is "partial small subunit ribosomal RNA". Lineage: Eukaryota; Viridiplantae; Streptophyta; Magnoliopsida; Poales; Poaceae. The record is from RNAcentral.